Molecule: ribosomal RNA, 557 nt
Filed under: uncultured bacterium
Lineage: Bacteria
Description: bacterial SSU rRNA
Rfam family: Bacterial small subunit ribosomal RNA
Source: RNAcentral
ACGGGUGAGUAACGCGUGGGAAUCUACCGUACCCUACGGAAUAGCUCUGGGAAACUGGAAGUAAUACCGUAUACGCCCGAAAGGGGAAAGAUUUAUCGGGGUAUGAUGAGCCCGCGUUGGAUUAGCUAGUUGGUGGGGUAAAGGCCUACCAAGGCGACGAUCCAUAGCUGGUCUGAGAGGAUGAUCAGCCACAUUGGGACUGAGACACGGCCCAAACUCCUACGGGAGGCAGCAGUGGGGAAUAUUGGACAAUGGGCGCAAGCCUGAUCCAGCCAUGCCGCGUGAGUGAUGAAGGUCUUAGGAUUGUAAAGCUCUUUCAACGGUGAAGAUAAUGACGGUAACCGUAGAAGAAGCCCCGGCUAACUUCGUGCCAGCAGCCGCGGUAAUACGAAGGGGGCUAGCGUUGUUCGGAAUUACUGGGCGUAAAGCGCACGUAGGCGGGUAUUUAAGUCAGGGGUGAAAUCCCGCAGCUCAACUGCGGAACUGCCUUUGAUACUGGGUAUCUUGAGUAUGGAAGAGGUAAGUGGAAUUGCGAGUGUAGAGGUGAAAUUCGUAGA